AGUGAACGCUGGCGGUAGGCCUAACACAUGCAAGUCGAACGGCAGCACAGUAAGAGCUUGCUCUUACGGGUGGCGAGUGGCGGACGGGUGAGGAAUACAUCGGAAUCUACUUUUUCGUGGGGGAUAACGUAGGGAAACUUACGCUAAUACCGCAUACGACCUACGGGUGAAAGCAGGGGAUCUUCGGACCUUGCGCGAUUGAAUGAGCCGAUGUCGGAUUAGCUAGUUGGCGGGGUAAAGGCCCACCAAGGCGACACUCGGUAGAUGGUCUGAGAGAAUGAUCAGCCACACUGGAACUGAGACACGGUCCAGACUCCUACGGGAGGCAGCAGUGGGGAAUAUUGGACAAUGGGGGCAAGCCUGAUCCAGCCAUACCGCGUGGGUGAAGAAGGCCUUCGGGUUGUAAAGCCCUUUUGUUGGGAAAGAAAAGCAGCAGGUUAAUACCCCGCUGUUCUGACGGUACCCAAAGAAUAAGCACCGGCUAACUUCGUG
Molecule: ribosomal RNA, 492 nt
Filed under: uncultured bacterium
Lineage: Bacteria
Description: partial 16S ribosomal RNA
Rfam family: Bacterial small subunit ribosomal RNA
Source: RNAcentral